RNAcentral lists this ribosomal RNA (511 nucleotides) under uncultured bacterium. RNAcentral describes it as "partial 16S ribosomal RNA". It matches the Rfam family "Bacterial small subunit ribosomal RNA", at positions 28 to 523 of the family's 1533-position model. The record is from RNAcentral.
GACGAACGCUGGCGGCGUGCCUAAUACAUGCAAGUCGAGCGGAAGUUGGAGAGCUUGCUCUUCAACUUUAGCGGCGGACGGGUGAGUAACACGUGGGCAACCUGCCCUGCAGAUCGGGAUAACUCCGGGAAACCGGUGCUAAUACCGAAUAGUUUUCGCCACCUCCUGGUGGCGUACGGAAAGACGGUUUCGGCUGUCACUGCAGGAUGGGCCAGCGGCGCAUUAGCUAGUUGGUGGGGUAACGGCCCACCAAGGCGACGAUGCGUAGCCGACCUGAGAGGGUGAUCGGCCACACUGGGACUGAGACACGGCCCAGACUCCUACGGGAGGCAGCAGUAGGGAAUCUUCCGCAAUGGACGAAAGUCUGACGGAGUAACGCCGCGUGAGUGACGAAGGUUUUCGGAUCGUAAAACUCUGUUGUGAGGGAAGAACAAGUACCACUUAACUACUGGUACCUUGACGGUACCUCACCAGAAAGCCACGGCUAACUACGUGCCAGCCGCCGCAGUAA